GAUGAACGCUGGCGGCGUGCCUAAUACAUGCAAGUCGAGCGAACGGACGAGAAGCUUGCUUCUCUGAUGUUAGCGGCGGACGGGUGAGUAACACGUGGAUAACCUACCUAUAAGACUGGGAUAACUUCGGGAAACCGGAGCUAAUACCGGAUGAUAUUUUGAACCGCAUGGUUCAAAAGUGAAAGACGGUCUUGCUGUCACUUAUAGAUGGAUCCGCGCUGCAUUAACUAGUUGGUAAGGUAACGGCUUACCAAGGCAACGAUGCAUAGCCGACCUGAGAGGGUGAUCGGCCACACUGGAACUGAGACACGGUCCAGACUCCUACGGGAGGCAGCAGUAGGGAAUCUUCCGCAAUGGGCGAAAGCCUGACGGAGCAACGCCGCGUGAGUGAUGAAGGUCUUCGGAUCGUAAAACUCUGUUAUUAGGGAAGAACAUAUGUGUAAGUAACUGUGCACAUCUUGACGGUACCUAAUCAGAAAGCCACGGCUAACUACGUG
RNAcentral lists this ribosomal RNA (497 nucleotides) under uncultured bacterium. Its description in RNAcentral is "partial 16S ribosomal RNA". It matches the Rfam family "Bacterial small subunit ribosomal RNA", at positions 28 to 507 of the family's 1533-position model. The record is from RNAcentral.